CAGUCGCCGCGGGAAAACGUAGGUGGCAAGCGUCGUCCGGAAUUGUUGGGCGUAAAGGGCUCGCAGGCGGUUUCUUAAGUCUGAUGUGAAAGCCCCCGGCUCAACCGGGGAGGGUCAUUGGAAACUGGGAAACUUGAGUGCAGAAGAGGAGAGUGGAAUUCCACGUGUAGCGGUGAAAUGCGUAGAGAUGUGGAGGAACACCAGUGGCGAAGGCGACUCUCUGGUCUGUAACUGACGCUGAGGAGCGAAAGCGUGGGGAGCGAACAGGAUUAGAUACCCGGGUAGUCCCUGUCUCUUAUAA
This 301-nucleotide ribosomal RNA is filed under the name uncultured bacterium. RNAcentral describes it as "partial 16S ribosomal RNA". It matches the Rfam family "Bacterial small subunit ribosomal RNA", at positions 509 to 809 of the family's 1533-position model. The record is from RNAcentral.